Molecule: long non-coding RNA, 353 nt
Filed under: Olea europaea (common olive)
Lineage: Eukaryota; Viridiplantae; Streptophyta; Magnoliopsida; Lamiales; Oleaceae
Description: long non-coding RNA (OEUR_LNC007627)
Source: RNAcentral
CUUGUUCUUGAAUCCAGAUGUUACCAUGUUUACCCCAAGUGGCUGUGGGAAAGGAUUCUCGUCCACUGCCAUCUUUUUCUUAUCGUCGAACGUAAUUCGUCCUGACUCAAUAGCAUCCUGCAAUACGUGACGAAAAACCAAGCAAUUGUUAGUCAAAUGUGACCAUGCAUUAUGCCACUUACAAUAUUUUUUACCCUUUAUUUGUUCAGGGUUUGGCAAUUUGUGCUUAUCGCUCAGUUUUAUUUGCUUAUCCCUAUAUAACUUAUCGAAUAUAAGGUCAGCUUUGGUUACAUCGAACGAGAACGUUCUAGCCUUUAUGUUUCCAUCCUUUACGGGUUCAUCUUUGCCCGAUG